Long non-coding RNA from Pocillopora damicornis (cauliflower coral), 3180 nucleotides. RefSeq lists it as uncharacterized. The record is from RefSeq and is a predicted model, not a curated record. NCBI's taxonomy places the organism in Eukaryota, Metazoa, Cnidaria, Anthozoa, Scleractinia, Pocilloporidae.
GGGGCACGAUGGAAAAGAAAGAACAAGUUAGUGAUUGAUUUAUAAAACAAAGAAAUAAAUGAAGGAAAUGAAGGUAAAGAUGAUUGAUCUCAUUUAAGACGACUGCGAGGAAAGUUGAGGAAAACAAACGGUGAAAUGAUUUAUAGAGGAAAUUAAUUAUAAUUUGUCAAAAACAAGCAAAAAAACCCAUUAUCUCUUGUACUUUUUUUCAUCCUUCUCCAUUAUUCGCUAAAGAUACAAUUGAUCUUUCCAUGAACGCAGCUUUUGCCGCAGAGAAAAUUCUAGCUAAGAAUUGAAAUGAGAAAUAAUUGUUUCAGACAUGUCGCCAGCGCAGAGAAGUUGUUUGGAGAAGCAACGCAAGGCCACGAGUUUUAAGUCACAACGUGUGUCUCUUUGCCUAGUGGUCGGUAAUUAUCAGCAAUCAUUCUUGACUGGUACCACAAUGCCAUCCAUAAACGCUAUUAAUACCGCUUCCAACAACAAUCACUUUAAUAGUUGUCCUCUCUUGGCUAGUCUGCAGCUGUCGUAAACAAUAAACGCCCCACACUUAUUGUUAAGGAAACGCUAUUUCAACACUCAGACUAGUGUUUAGCGUACGAACUCCAUACAUUAGACGUUAAAGGAUUGUCAAUGUGAAAUAUCCUUGAUAAGCUGCCUUUUAAAAUUUCAAACCUCAAGACUCACUGUGUGAUCUCAGUCGCCGAAUGCAUCUCUCUCUGCGAGUCUCUUUCUUAACGACAUGGCUUCGGUGUUUUCCCUUUUCGAUAAUGAGGUUUAUCGAACAUUGAAUUGUCUCUUUUGUUCAGUCUUUGCGCAUCACUAUUUAAAUAAACUGAAUUUUCUACACGAUUGUAGUAAAGGACAGUUAAGGUACCGGCAGUUCUAGAAAUGUACGCGUAUCAUUCUUCGCGAUCGGACAAAAAAAACUAAACGAAAACCGCGUGGCAGGAAGAAGAACACCAUGCUUUGGGCACGUGUCGAAGUGUUGAAGCCACAUGUAUUAAGGAAAACUUGCGACAUAAUACAUUAACUGAUAGUAAUUAGCGAACAGCUUUCCUUUUCUUCUCUCUUUUCAAAGAAAAAUACGGUUUUAUCAUGAUUUGCUGAAAAUUAGUAAACUAUAAUUAUUUUUCCAAACACACAUACGAUAGAGAUGUAUCUGAACUAGGAAUCCUAUAAAGCCAUGUAGUGUAAGGUUGCUCUCAGAGAAUUGAAAUCAAAACCAUGAAAUGUUAAACACACCGGAGAGAUUGUGUCCAAACGGACAAAAUGUGCUAAAAGGUUUUAGCAUGAAAAUUUCGCUUUCAAACUUCAGCGACAUUUUUAGUCCAUUAUACCAUGCUUUUCCAUAUAAUCACGUUUAAUAGAUAAUAUUAAUGGUGUUGGUAUCAAUUGGAAGCGAUAAAGGUCUAUGAGAAAUAGAUUUCGGAUGUAUUAAAGGCUUAAUAUAAUCCUUAAUUUGUUUAAUAUAUUUAUCUUUACAGAGGCAUUGUUAUAGCAUAAGAAACGAUUGGGAGAAACUGUCUUCUUCGCACUGACUUAUUUCGAUUGUAAUGGCCCCAUUAGAAAACAAAGACUAAUUUACAAAUGCAUUAAACGUAUAAACAGGAAACAGAGCCAUUUCAGAACCAGUAAAUUUUGUUCACUGUCACUUUAUCAUUUUAAAUCUCGACAUAGAUAAGAUUAGAAGUAUGAGACGGCCAUAUUACCAUUCUUUAAAGAUUUUAGUGAUUCCUUACCUAAUUGACAGUUUUGCCUAGCAAUGUCCUUACUGGAAAUCAAAGCUUUUAGUAUCCUUGUGAAGUUUGUUUAAUACAGCACAAACUUCACAAAAAAAUGCGGGCAAAGUGGCUCUAGUAACAAUGUGUAUCUAGCAAGCAAGAAAGCGAAUUUGCGGCCUUUUCUUGACUGGAUCUUUUAACGACAGCCCGGGAAAACGAUCUUUCACGACCAAGGCAAAAGUUAUCCGGCUAACUUAGAAGAGGCUCAUAGGAGGGAGGCUAGUUUCUUCUUUUAAACCUGUUUCCGUCCAUUUCUCAUUAUCUUGUGAUAGGAAAAUCCAUAUAUGAAUCAUAGAAAUGUAUUUUUUAUGCAAACCCAGGAAAAGAAAAAAAGUUUUAUCGCGUGUAUAACACAAUUUAAAGAUACAUAGCAUUCAGAUAAUAUAUGGGCUUAUGUGAAAAGAAGCUGUUGGUUGAAGAUUUUUAUCUAAUAACCUAUAUUUUCAUAUCAUAAAGAAAUAUUGCGAAAAAUGCAAUAGACGCCAUGGGUUUACGAAAGCACUAACGAGACAGACAGACACAAUUGGAACUAAAAUGUGCCGCCGAAGGAUGUAAUACACGCAGUUUUAAGAUCAAGAAAGUUGGAUGCUAAGUUACACAUCUUCUCCGAUGAAAUACGGAAAAAAUCAGAUUUUCUGUUGAUUAACUGAGUAAUUAAAAUUCUUUCAACUGUUUAUUAGGUGCGUUAUCUAUAGCAUUCACCAGAGGCCUUUUAGCUUGAGCUGAAAUCAAUAUUUGGGAUUUCAUUAACAACAUCCUUUGAGAUAAAAAGUCUUUAUUCUAAUUCCCUGUCGAAACGAGGAGUGGUUUGUCAAGAUUAGAGAUUUGAUUUCGCAACUUACUCUUUACUUUAUCAGAAUCAUUACAAAAAGCCCAAACUAUAGACAUAUUAAGGUGUUUUUAUUUAUAUUAUGCAAUUUUAGGUCUACCAAACUAUCAAUUUAAACCCACAGAUGUUGGACUUUGUCUGUGUAAUUUUGCCUUCCGGCUAAGUGAUUGAGAGCAUUCUCUUCUGAAUACAAAUUAACUUGAUGUAGCACGCAAGCAGUUAUGAAGUAACUCUUUUAGAGACUUUGAUCACUGUACCUUGUUUUGUAAAUUAAAAACUCAAACAAGACCUGUCGCAGAAAAUGUAAGCCAAAUAGUCUUAAGUGACCGAAUAAGAAACUUUACGAUUCUGGCAUACCCAGGAGCGUUCAAAAAAGGUUCUGAGUGGCGAAGGUAAAAUUGACGCCAAGAUGUCGAAGUUGCGCGUCUCCGGAAUUCGAAUACCUUGGAGUUCUUGACGAAAUUUCGCACUUCAAAAGCUCAACAGCAACGUUUUUGACCGCUGUGUGGUGAUUAAAGAGACUCUAUAAUACAAUUAACGCUCAAUAAAGAUUAUUAAAAUGUCUCUGUA